UAGAGUUUGGAUCCUGGCUCAGAUUGAACGCUGGCGGCAGGCCUAACACAUGCAAGUCGAGCGGAAACGAAGAGGUGCUUGCACCUCUGGCGUCGAGCGGCGGACGGGUGAGUAAUGCUUGGGAAUAUGCCUUAUGGUGGGGGACAACAGUUGGAAACGACUGCUAAUACCGCAUGAUGUCUACGGACCAAAGUGGGGGACCUUCGGGCCUCACGCCAUAAGAUUAGCCCAAGUGGGAUUAGCUAGUUGGUGAGGUAAUGGCUCACCAAGGCGACGAUCCCUAGCUGGUUUGAGAGGAUGAUCAGCCACACUGGGACUGAGACACGGCCCAGACUCCUACGGGAGGCAGCAGUGGGGAAUAUUGCACAAUGGGCGCAAGCCUGAUGCAGCCAUGCCGCGUGUGUGAAGAAGGCCUUCGGGUUGUAAAGCACUUUCAGUAAGGAGGAAAGGUUAAGUGUUAAUAGCACUUAGCUGGACGACU
Molecule: ribosomal RNA, 481 nt
Filed under: Pseudoalteromonas sp. PS4B-B484
Lineage: Bacteria; Pseudomonadati; Pseudomonadota; Gammaproteobacteria; Alteromonadales; Pseudoalteromonadaceae
Description: bacterial SSU rRNA
Rfam family: Bacterial small subunit ribosomal RNA
Source: RNAcentral